Molecule: non-coding RNA, 84 nt
Organism: Schizophyllum commune H4-8
Lineage: Eukaryota; Fungi; Basidiomycota; Agaricomycetes; Agaricales; Schizophyllaceae
Source: Rfam
GUCGGUAUCGAUUAGGGGUGAAAUCAUCUCGUUGUGGCGAGUUGUAACUCCGAGAAGCCGCAGGUUCGAAUCCUGCUACCGACA